UUUUUUUGCUCUUCUUUUAAGCCUGGAGCGACUUCGCUGAUUAAGUGUCGAUCGACUCGCCACCGAAAGGAAGUGACGUAAUUUCUGUCGGCCACACACCAGACGAACUUUCAGGUCGUCUUUUGUUUGUGUUUUUUUUUUCUUCUUUUAAUCCAAAAUGGAUGAAAUUUUAGGUUUUCCAGGAGGAUGUUAGAUGAUAAUUCGCUAUUUAAUUUUAUAGAGAGAUUAUUCAUUUGUAAACACAGUGGAUGCGCGCGCAACUUGCCUGCAGAACGAGCCGCUGGUUGCCAUGGUUAUCAGUAUUAAUGUGGCAGUUUUCACAUUAGCUAGCAUGUUGCCAGUCAGUGGACUACAUCUGUUUAUCACAGCGUGAUAAAAUAAGUUAUUCUACUAAACUGACAUUAGUGAAUGAGAUGCGUUUUAAGGACCCGCGCAUUAAAUGGAGUGACAUGCGCAGUAGAGUGACUGCUGACGCAACAUGACGUCGACUGACGUUGCUGGAACUGCAACUUCUGUUCAGGCAGCAACAGGUCUGAACCGGUGUUGUCAGUGCAGAUUUAGUGAUCAGGAGUUGGAGGUUGGGUGAAGGCGCUGGUCGACGUCAAU
Molecule: long non-coding RNA, 606 nt
Organism: Poecilia latipinna (sailfin molly)
Lineage: Eukaryota; Metazoa; Chordata; Actinopteri; Cyprinodontiformes; Poeciliidae
Exons: 3
Source: RefSeq, a predicted model, not a curated record